This 301-nucleotide ribosomal RNA is filed under the name uncultured bacterium. RNAcentral describes it as "partial 16S ribosomal RNA". It matches the Rfam family "Bacterial small subunit ribosomal RNA", at positions 509 to 807 of the family's 1533-position model. The record is from RNAcentral.
CAGCAGCCACGGGAAUACGGAGGGUGCGAGCGUUAAUCGGAAUUACUGGGCGUAAAGCGUACGCAGGCGGUUUGUUAAGUCAGAUGUGAAAUCCCCGAGCUUAACUCGGGAACUGCAUUUGAAACUGGCAGGCUAGAGUCUCGUAGAGGGGGGUAGAAUUCCAGGUGUAGCGGUGAAAUGCGUAGAGAUCUGGAGGAAUACCGGUGGCGAAGGCGGCCCCCUGGACGAAGACUGACGCUCAGGUACGAAAGCGUGGGGAGCAAACAGGAUUAGAUACCCCGGUAGUCCCUGUCUCUUAUAC